Non-coding RNA from Thecamonas trahens ATCC 50062, 73 nucleotides. The record is from the annotation of a RefSeq genome assembly. Lineage: Eukaryota; Apusomonadida; Apusomonadidae.
GGUUCCGUAGCUCAAUCGGAAGAGCAUGUGCUUCACACGUACAAGGUAGCCAGAUCGAAACUGGCCGGAACCU